CAGUCGCCGCGGUAAUACGGAGGAUCCGAGCGUUAUCCGGAAUUAUUGGGUUUAAAGGGUGCGUAGGCGGAUAGAUAAGUCAGUGGUGAAAGACGGUGGCUCAACCAUCGCAGUGCCGUUGAUACUGUUUAUCUUGAAUAUGGAUGAGGUAGGCGGAAUGUGGCAAGUAGCGGUGAAAUGCAUAGAUAUGCCACAGAACACCGAUUGCGAAGGCAGCUUACCAAGGCAAAAUUGACGCUGAGGCACGAAAGCGUGGGGAUCGAACAGGAUUAGAUACCCGCGUAGUCCCUGUCUCUUAUAA
RNAcentral lists this ribosomal RNA (301 nucleotides) under uncultured bacterium. RNAcentral's name for it is "partial 16S ribosomal RNA". It matches the Rfam family "Bacterial small subunit ribosomal RNA", at positions 509 to 809 of the family's 1533-position model. The record is from RNAcentral.